Molecule: ribosomal RNA, 354 nt
Filed under: Macrotoma serripes
Lineage: Eukaryota; Metazoa; Arthropoda; Insecta; Coleoptera; Cerambycidae
Also listed under: 1 other name
Description: SSU rRNA
Rfam family: Eukaryotic small subunit ribosomal RNA
Source: RNAcentral
AGGAGUGGAGCCUGCGGCUUAAUUUGACUCAACACGGGAAACCUCACCAGGCCCGGACACCGGAAGGAUUGACAGAUUGAGAGCUCUUUCUUGAUUCGGUGGGUGGUGGUGCAUGGCCGUUCUUAGUUGGUGGAGCGAUUUGUCUGGUUAAUUCCGAUAACGAACGAGACUCUAGCCUGCUAACUAGGCGUAUUUCGACAUCCCAAAGGCCCGCCGGUUUAGGGUUUCGAUCCUUUUCCGCGCGCGGUUUUUACUGUCGGCGUACAAACAAUUCUUCUUAGAGGGACAGGCGGCUUCUAGCCGCACGAGAUUGAGCAAUAACAGGUCUGUGAUGCCCUUAGAUGUUCUGGGCCG